AAUACCUGGGGAUCUUGUUAAAAUGCAAAAUCUGAUUCAGGAGAUCUGGGCUUGGCCCGAGGUUCUGUAUUUUUAACAAGUUCCCAAGUGAGGUCAC
RNAcentral lists this microRNA precursor (97 nucleotides) under Pteropus alecto (black flying fox). RNAcentral describes it as "mir-544 microRNA precursor family". It matches the Rfam family "mir-544 microRNA precursor family". RNAcentral also lists the same sequence under 1 other name. Lineage: Eukaryota; Metazoa; Chordata; Mammalia; Chiroptera; Pteropodidae. The record is from Rfam by way of RNAcentral.